RNAcentral lists this ribosomal RNA (231 nucleotides) under uncultured bacterium. RNAcentral describes it as "partial 16S ribosomal RNA". It matches the Rfam family "Bacterial small subunit ribosomal RNA", at positions 100 to 334 of the family's 1533-position model. The record is from RNAcentral.
GGACGGGUGAGUAAUGUCUGGGAAACUGCCUGAUGGAGGGGGGUAACUACUGGAAACGGUAGCUAAUACCGCAUAACGUCGCAAGACCAAAGAGGGGGACCUUCGGGCCUCUUGCCAUCGGAUGUGCCCAGAUGGGAUUAGCUAGUAGGUGGGGUAACGGCUCACCUAGGCGACGAUCCCUAGCUGGUCUGAGAGGAUGACCAGCCACACUGGAACUGGGACACGGUCCAG